This 740-nucleotide ribosomal RNA is filed under the name Escherichia coli. RNAcentral describes it as "partial 23S ribosomal RNA". It matches the Rfam family "Bacterial large subunit ribosomal RNA", at positions 2182 to 2916 of the family's 2925-position model. Lineage: Bacteria; Pseudomonadati; Pseudomonadota; Gammaproteobacteria; Enterobacterales; Enterobacteriaceae. RNAcentral also lists the same sequence under 1 other name. The record is from RNAcentral.
GGAGCCGGCCUUGAAAUACCACCCUUUAAUGUUUGAUGUUCUAACGUGGACCCGUGAUCCGGGUUGCGGACAGUGUCUGGUGGGUAGUUUGACUGGGGCGGUCUCCUCCUAAAGAGUAACGGAGGAGCACGAAGGUUGGCUAAUCCUGGUCGGACAUCAGGAGGUUAGUGCAAUGGCAUAAGCCAGCUUGACUGCGAGCGUGACGGCGCGAGCAGGUGCGAAAGCAGGUCAUAGUGAUCCGGUGGUUCUGAAUGGAAGGGCCAUCGCUCAACGGAUAAAAGGUACUCCGGGGAUAACAGGCUGAUACCGCCCAAGAGUUCAUAUCGACGGCGGUGUUUGGCACCUCGAUGUCGGCUCAUCACAUCCUGGGGCUGAAGUAGGUCCCAAGGGUAUGGCUGUUCGCCAUUUAAAGUGGUACGCGAGCUGGGUUUAGAACGUCGUGAGACAGUUCGGUCCCUAUCUGCCGUGGGCGCUGGAGAACUGAGGGGGGCUGCUCCUAGUACGAGAGGACCGGAGUGGACGCAUCACUGGUGUUCGGGUUGUCAUGCCAAUGGCACUGCCCGGUAGCUAAAUGCGGAAGAGAUAAGUGCUGAAAGCAUCUAAGCACGAAACUUGCCCCGAGAUGAGUUCUCCCUGACCCUUUAAGGGUCCUGAAGGAACGUUGAAGACGACGACGUUGAUAGGCCGGGUGUGUAAGCGCAGCGAUGCGUUGAGCUAACCGGUACUAAUGAACCGUGAGG